This 88-nucleotide ribosomal RNA is filed under the name Haemophilus influenzae. Lineage: Bacteria; Pseudomonadati; Pseudomonadota; Gammaproteobacteria; Pasteurellales; Pasteurellaceae. The record is from RNAcentral.
CCUGGCGGCGAUAGUGCGGUGGACCCACCUGAGACCAUACCGAACUCAGAAGUGAAACGCUGUAAUGCCGAUGGUAGUGUGGGGUUUC